RNAcentral lists this ribosomal RNA (274 nucleotides) under uncultured bacterium. Its description in RNAcentral is "partial 16S ribosomal RNA". It matches the Rfam family "Archaeal small subunit ribosomal RNA", at positions 473 to 747 of the family's 1478-position model. The record is from RNAcentral.
AAACCAGCACCUCAAGUGGUCAGGAUGAUUAUUGGGCCUAAAGCAUCCGUAGCCUGUUCUGUAAGUUUCCGGUUAAAUCCAUUAGCUCAACUAAUGGGCUGCCGAAAAUACUGCAAAACUAGGGAGUGGGAGAGGUAGACGGUACUCGGUAGGAAGGGGUAAAAUCCUUUGAUCUAGUGAUGACCACCUGUGGCGAAGGCGGUCUACCAGAACACGUUCGACGGUGAGGGAUGAAAGCUGGGGGAGCAAACCGGAGUAGAAACCCCAGUAGUCC